CUUCCCUCGCCAGGGGCGGCUCGGAGCAACGUGCGCGGCGGCGGCUGGGCCGAGCCGGGCCGCUCCUCCCCGCCGGGCAGGCAGCCCCGAGGAGCCCGCAGCGCCGCCGGCCCCGCCGCACGCCCCAGCCCCGGCACCACCUCCUACCUGCCCAGGGCCCGGCCCGGCGGCUGAGGCGGAAGCGGCGGCGGAAGCGCUACGGUGGCCGCAUGGGGCUGGGCGGAAGCGCUCGGGCAGGGGGCGGUGCGGCGGAGAGGAGCGGGCACCAUGUCGGGCCGAGAGGGCGGCAAGAAGAAGCCGCUGAAGCAGCCGAAGAAGCAGUCGAAGGACCUGGAUGAGACAGAUCUGGCAUUUAAACAAAAGCAGAAGGAGGAGCAGAAGAAACUUGAGGAGAUGAAAGCAAAGGCUGCUGGAAAAGGGCCCCUCGCCAGUGGUGGAAUAAAGAAGUCUGGCAAAAAGUAGUUUGACCAAACUGCAGGGUAAGAAGCAGUCGAGUUACUCAAUGGAUCUGCAGCUUCAGAGAGUCAUGAAAACUCACUGUCAUUUGGGAAACAUUGUACAUUUUGUUUAGUUGGAAUAAAUCGUUUUUGUUAAGAUGUGA
Molecule: long non-coding RNA, 601 nt
Organism: Strigops habroptila (Kakapo)
Lineage: Eukaryota; Metazoa; Chordata; Aves; Psittaciformes; Psittacidae
Exons: 4
Source: RefSeq, a predicted model, not a curated record